GACGAACGCUGGCGGCGUGCCUAAUACAUGCAAGUCGAACGCUUCUACUAUCACCGAGUGCUUGCACUCACCGAUAGAAGAGGAGUGGCGGACGGGUGAGUAACACGUGGGUAACCUGCCCAUUAGAAGGGGAUAACACUUGGAAACAGGUGCUAAUACCGUAUAUCUCUAGUUGUCGCAUGGCAACUGGAUGAAAGACGCUUUCGGGUGUCACUAAUGGAUGGACCUGCGCUGCAUUAGUUAGUUGGUGGGGUAAUGGCCUACCAAGACCAUGAUGCAUAGCCGACCUGAGAGGGUGAUCGGCCACACUGGGACUGAGACACGGCCCAGACUCCUACGGGAGGCAGCAGUAGGGAAUCUUCGGCAAUGGACGGAAGUCUGACCGAGCAACGCCGCGUGAGUGAAGAAGGUUUUCGGAUCGUAAAACUCUGUUGUUAGAGAAGAACAAGGGGUGAGGGUAACUGUUCACCCUUGACGGUAUCUAACCAGAAAGCCAC
This 497-nucleotide ribosomal RNA is filed under the name uncultured Enterococcaceae bacterium. Its description in RNAcentral is "bacterial SSU rRNA". It matches the Rfam family "Bacterial small subunit ribosomal RNA", at positions 28 to 494 of the family's 1533-position model. The record is from RNAcentral. Lineage: Bacteria; Bacillati; Bacillota; Bacilli; Lactobacillales; Enterococcaceae.